Molecule: non-coding RNA, 1730 nt
Organism: Oryza sativa Japonica Group (Japanese rice)
Lineage: Eukaryota; Viridiplantae; Streptophyta; Magnoliopsida; Poales; Poaceae
Source: RefSeq, a predicted model, not a curated record
UCCCCUGGCUGCCUGGUCCCCAACGUCCCCCCGGCCUCCGGCGCAGCCCUCCUCCUGUGCCUCCUCUGGUCCCGGCCUCCGCCCGCGUUGCGACGGCGGUGGCGGAGCCUGUGCUGGUGUCCCCCUCCCCUCUUCUUCUCCCUCCCCUCACCCUGUCCCUUCUCUGGAUCGACGGAGCCAGCAGUACCGGCGGUGGCGGAGGUGGCGACGGGGGGGGGGGGGGGGGGAGGACGAGGUGGCGGUGAGGAGGUACUGUUGCCGUCCCCUCGCGCCUCCGCACGCGCUGCGCCCGUCGGACCUGCCGCCGAUGCCGCCUCCCUCCUUCUUCUUACUCCCCUUGUGGUGGCAUCGGCGGGGGAGGACGGACGCGGCACCCGUCGGAGCUAGCGCAGGUGCUUCCUUACUCCUUCUCCCUCCACUUGGUGGCAGCUGCGGCAGGGGGAGGGCGGAUGCGGCGCCCGUCGGGCCCUGCGGUGGCGGCGGAGCUGACCGCGCGACCGCCACUACCUCCUCGUCAUUUCCCUAGCCGUCGUCUCCGGCCGUGAGGAGGCUGUUGGCCUGUUGCCACUGGAUCCAGCGACCCCGGCCACUUCGCCGGCGGCUCUGGUCGACCGGAGUAAUUUGACGCUGGCCGGUGCCGUGCUCUUCGUCUCCACCAUGCUGUCGCUUCCUCUAUCCUGCCCUCUUGCCCCGCUCGGUGGGGUGCCGGAUUUGCUUCUAGGUUCGUCGGAUCCGAUGACCUCGGUCUCCCCCCUGCACUCUUCUUCUCUUCCUCCCCGUCCUCCACCGUCCCUCUCUCCCUUUCCCCCUCUUCCUUUUGCUCUUCACUCCUCUCUAUGCCAGAUCCGGCUCAUGGACUGCGUGGUCUGUUACAAGGAUGGUGUAGGAGCGCUUGGUUUGUGGGGCGGCCAAGCAACUGCUGCGAGGCCGGGCCGUCGGGGAGUAGGGAGAGAGAGCGGCAGUUCCGCGACGACUACAACGACGACUUUGGCAAGGCACGACGGUUGCGAUGGCGAAGGCCACUAUCCGGGUUGGUUGUUCCUGCUCGCUCGGUAUUAGCUGCUACACAAAUGCCAGGGGAGGCUGCUGGUUGGUUCCGGGAUACAGCAGAUGCAGUUGAAAAUUUUUUCUGGGCACUUGAGGACUAUAUAGCACAUUUUAAGCUUGUCAGGGGAUCAGCUUUAUCGUAUGGAUUACAUGAAGCUCAUGCAGAAACAUUUUGACAACAGUGCUGACAUUACUUCAUCAUGUGCUCCUGUUGGAAAGAGGCAUAUGUCUUCGCUGACUACUAGGAAGACAUUGGAACGAUCAGAUUGUUCUUUGAUGCAAACAUGGCACUCUGUGAGGAGGAAGCUCUUGAUGUUCUUCAAGAAGGGCACUGAGCAGAACCGUGGAGAAUAAUCUAUGUUAAAAUUAUAAUUUGUAUGUUUACAUGUGUAUGCUUGUUUUCGAUUCAUGGAUGUCUGCCUACCUACCUGUUGAUGUGUUGUUACUUUGCACGUCCGCGUCCCACUGCAGCAACUGUCGUCGUGGCAUGAGCGAAAACUUGGUCUCGAUACCACGCCAUCUCCUUCAUUCGCUCACAUUUAGCUGCCUAUGUUUGUUUGUAACAAAGAAAUAACAGGGUGAAAUUUAUCUUUACCAGUAUUUAGCCACUCCAUGUAUUCGCCAUCACUCAUGUAUUCAUGUUCCCUUCAAGGCAAGCAACGCAUUGUCUUCUAAUUAAAAAA